UCUUUCCUACGGGGGGCAGCAGUGGGGAAUAUUGCACAAUGGGGGAAACCCUGAUGCAGCGACGCCGCGUGAGUGAGGAAGUAUUUCGGUAUGUAAAGCUCUCUCAGCAGGGAAGAAAAUGACGGUACCUGACUAAGAAGCCCCGGCUAACUACGUGCCAGCAGCCGCGGUAAUACGUAGGGGGCAAGCGUUAUCCGGAAUGAUUGGGCGUAAAGGGGGCGUAGGCGGCCUGCUAAGUCUGGAGUGAAAGGUACCGGCUCAACC
Molecule: ribosomal RNA, 264 nt
Filed under: uncultured bacterium
Lineage: Bacteria
Description: partial 16S ribosomal RNA
Rfam family: Bacterial small subunit ribosomal RNA
Source: RNAcentral